CCUACGGGAGGCAGCAGUGGGGAAUAUUGGACAAUGGGGGGAACCCUGAUCCAGCCAUGCCGCGUGUGUGAAGAAGGCCCUCGGGUUGUAAAGCACUUUCAGUGAGGAAGAACGCCUGGUGGUUAAUACCCAUCAGGAAAGACAUCACUCACAGAAGAAGCACCGGCUAACUCCGUGCCAGCAGCCGCGGUAAUACGGAGGGUGCGAGCGUUAAUCGGAAUUACUGGGCGUAAAGCGCGCGUAGGUGGCUUGAUAAGCCGGUUGUGAAAGCCCCGGGCUCAACCUGGGAACGACAUCCGGAACUGUCAAGCUAGAGUGCAGGAGAGGAAGGUAGAAUUCCCGGUGUAGCGGUGAAAUGCGUAGAGAUCGGGAGGAAUACCAGUGGCGAAGGCGGCCUUCUGGACUGACACUGACACUGAGGUGCGAAAGCGUGGGUAGCAAACAGGAUUAGAUACCCUUGUAGUC
RNAcentral lists this ribosomal RNA (465 nucleotides) under Vreelandella stevensii. RNAcentral's name for it is "partial 16S ribosomal RNA". It matches the Rfam family "Bacterial small subunit ribosomal RNA", at positions 338 to 795 of the family's 1533-position model. The record is from RNAcentral. Lineage: Bacteria; Pseudomonadati; Pseudomonadota; Gammaproteobacteria; Oceanospirillales; Halomonadaceae.